UCCCAUAUGAUCUAGUGGUUAGGAUUUGGCGCACUCACCGCCAAGGCCCGGGUUCAAUUCCCGGUAUGGGAA
Molecule: transfer RNA, 72 nt
Filed under: Saccoglossus kowalevskii
Lineage: Eukaryota; Metazoa; Hemichordata; Enteropneusta; Harrimaniidae
Description: tRNA-Glu
Rfam family: tRNA
About the family: Transfer RNA (tRNA) molecules are approximately 80 nucleotides in length. Their secondary structure includes four short double-helical elements and three loops (D, anti-codon, and T loops).
Source: RNAcentral